This 253-nucleotide ribosomal RNA is filed under the name uncultured bacterium. RNAcentral describes it as "partial 16S ribosomal RNA". It matches the Rfam family "Bacterial small subunit ribosomal RNA", at positions 524 to 776 of the family's 1533-position model. The record is from RNAcentral.
UACGUAGGGUGCGAGCGUUAAUCGGAAUUACUGGGCGUAAAGCGUGCGCAGGCGGUUGGGUAAGACAGAUGUGAAAUCCCCGGGCUCAACCUGGGAACUGCAUUUGUGACUGCACGGCUCGAGUGCGGCAGAGGGGGAUGGAAUUCCGCGUGUAGCAGUGAAAUGCGUAGAUAUGCGGAGGAACACCGAUGGCGAAGGCAAUCCCCUGGGCCUGCACUGACGCUCAUGCACGAAAGCGUGGGGAGCAAACAGG